Molecule: long non-coding RNA, 636 nt
Organism: Sebastes umbrosus (honeycomb rockfish)
Lineage: Eukaryota; Metazoa; Chordata; Actinopteri; Perciformes; Sebastidae
Exons: 2
Source: RefSeq, a predicted model, not a curated record
UGGACUGAACUGAACUGAACUGAACUGAACUGAACUGAACUGAACUGAACUGAACUGAACUGAACUGAACUGAACUGAACUGGACUGGACUGAACUGAACUGAACUGAACUGAACUGAACUGGACUGGACUGGUGCUAAUGUGUCACAGUAAAAAAGCUGUUCACAUACUGGGCUAAUCAUGGCUAACUGUGUGCUAAUCUGGACUGUUCCUGCAACAACCUGCAACUGUUCUAGACAUGACCAGAGGUUAGCCUGGAGCUAGCUGGGGUUAGCCAGGUGUUACUGGAGGUUAGCCUGGAGCUAGCUGGGGUUAGCCAGGUGUUAUUGGAGGUUAGCCUGGAGCUAGCUGGGGUUAGCCAGGUGUUACUGGAGGUUAGCCUGGAGCUAGCUGGAGGUUAGCCAGGUGUUACUGGAGGUUAGCCUGGAGCUAGCUGGGGUUAGCCAGGUGUUACUGGAGGUUAGCCUGGAGCUAGCUGGAGGUUAGCCAGGUGUUACUGGAGGUUAGCCUGGAGCUAGCUGGGGUUAUCCAGGUGAUACUGCAGUCCCAGUGGGUGUGGCCUCUUCCUGUAUCUGACCUCAGAACUGUACAUAAUAUUCACAGCAAUAUUUCAAUAAACAUCACUGAUCACCUGUUA